Molecule: ribosomal RNA, 777 nt
Filed under: uncultured Neocallimastigales
Lineage: Eukaryota; Fungi; Neocallimastigomycota; Neocallimastigomycetes; Neocallimastigales
Description: partial large subunit ribosomal RNA
Rfam family: Eukaryotic large subunit ribosomal RNA
Source: RNAcentral
CAUAGCGACUAUCGUGGCAUAUCAAUAAGCGGAGGAAAAGAAACUAACAAGGAUUCCCCUAGUAACGGCGAGUGAAGCGGGAAGAGCUCAAAUUUGAAAUCUUAAAGGGUUUCCCUUUACGAAUUGUAGUUUAAAGAAGUGUUUUCUGUUGGAGUUUCGGUAAAAGUUCUUUGGAAUAGGACAUCAUAGAGGGUGAGAAUCCCGUAUUUGACCGUUACUUUCCAGCUGUGUGAUACACUUUCAAAGAGUCGGAUUGUUUGGGAAUGCAGUCCAAAAUGGGUGGUAAAUUUCAUCUAAAGCUAAAUAUUGGCGAGAGACCGAUAGCGAACAAGUACCGUGAGGGAAAGAUGAAAAGAACUUUGAAAAGAGAGUUAAACAGUACGUGAAAUUGUCAAAAGGGAAGCGUUUGACACCAGUGUUGUUUAGUUGAAAAUCAAUUCAAUAAUUUUUGAUUUUGAGUAGUAUUGACUUUAUCAGCUUGCUGCUUUCUUUUCGAAAUUAUUGAAUGCACUUUUCAGUUAACAAGUCAACAUCAAUUUCUUUUGUUGUAAAAGGGUAAGAGGAAGGUGGCUUACGCUUCGGCGUCAAGUGUUUAUAGCCUUUUACCUCUGCAAUCGGAGAGAUUGAGGUACAUGCAGCGUAGACUCUUCGGGGUUAGAUACAUUUAUGCUAAGCUAUAGCCUUGUAUAGACAACUUGUUGACUAUGCUCAGUCAUGUAGCUUACUCGUAGAUGCUAUUUUACCUACGCUUAGGAUGUUGACGCGCGUGUGUGCGUG